UAAAAUAUAAAAUAACUAAAAAACUUCUUUCCCUUUAUAAAUCCAAAGAGAAAAUAUAUUUUUUUAGUGACUAUUGGCUAUUGUUUUCAUGUCCGUAUCUCAUUUUCUCUCCUAAAACAUCUCUCCUCAAGAAAGCUUCUUUCCCUUUAUAAAUCCAAUAGCCACUAAAAAAUUCAUCUUCCUAUACACCUACCAUAAUUACUCCCAUAACUAAACUAAAGUACCUAGCCACAAACCAAACUAUCUAAUAACUACACA
Molecule: long non-coding RNA, 258 nt
Filed under: Brassica napus (rape)
Lineage: Eukaryota; Viridiplantae; Streptophyta; Magnoliopsida; Brassicales; Brassicaceae
Description: long non-coding RNA (BNAP_LNC011939)
Source: RNAcentral